Molecule: ribosomal RNA, 465 nt
Filed under: uncultured bacterium
Lineage: Bacteria
Description: partial 16S ribosomal RNA
Rfam family: Bacterial small subunit ribosomal RNA
Source: RNAcentral
GACGAACGCUGGCGGCGUGCUUAACACAUGCAAGUCGAACGGAAAGGCCCUGCUUGCAGGGUACUCGAGUGGCGAACGGGUGAGUAACACGUGGGUGAUCUGCCCUGCACUUCGGGAUAAGCCUGGGAAACUGGGUCUAAUACCGGAUAGGAGCCAUUUUUAGUGUGAUGGUUGGAAAGUUUUUUCGGUGUAGGAUGAGCUCGCGGCCUAUCAGCUUGUUGGUGGGGUAAUGGCCUACCAAGGCGGCGACGGGUAGCCGGCCUGAGAGGGUGGACGGCCACAUUGGGACUGAGAUACGGCCCAGACUCCUACGGGAGGAAGCAGGGGGGAAUAUUGCACAAUGGGCGCAAGCCUGAUGCAGCGACGCCGCGGGGGGGAGGACGGCCUUCGGGUUGUAAACUCCUUUCGCUAGGGACGAAGCUUUUUGUGACGGUACCUAGAGAAGAAGCACCGGCUAACUACGUG